UAAAUGUGGAGCCACAGACAUUUACAAUACAAUAUUUUCUUAGAAUAUAGAACCAAGUGUGUAUGGUAGUACUAACAAAGUUCCGCCUGCCCGCAGUGCCGUCGCGCGGCGGCGGCGCGAGCACCCCCGGCGCCCGUGGUGCCGGUGCGUGCGUCCGUCACGCCGCAUAAGCGCCGCUACACCUACUACAACAAGAUGUACCGCCCCAUGUGCUACGAGCUGCCGCGACCCUUCACCAUCUCACUCGUCUAACUAUAAACUAGAACCUAAUAUAUUGCAUAAUUACCGUUCAUGCGCCAUCAGUCAGCUCCUCCUCCUCCGAGCGCGGAGCUGUGCAGGUAGCUACCGCUGUGGGGGUGACAACAUGGCCGAACACAUUUCUAUUGUACUUUAGUUGUACGACUAUAAAAUAAAAACUAUAUUAUGA
Long non-coding RNA from Helicoverpa zea (corn earworm), 427 nucleotides. RefSeq lists it as uncharacterized. NCBI's taxonomy places the organism in Eukaryota, Metazoa, Arthropoda, Insecta, Lepidoptera, Noctuidae. The transcript has 2 exons. The record is from RefSeq and is a predicted model, not a curated record.